Molecule: long non-coding RNA, 258 nt
Organism: Callorhinus ursinus (northern fur seal)
Lineage: Eukaryota; Metazoa; Chordata; Mammalia; Carnivora; Otariidae
Source: RefSeq, a predicted model, not a curated record
GUAGUCGCAGCUGCAGGUGCCUCUUUGUCCUAAAGGGUCAAGGAGUAAUCAGGACCAAACUAGAUUUAGCCAGUGAGUUUUCAAGGAGCGCCUUGAGAAGGGCCACUUGGCAUUCAUCUCCUCUGGCUGAGCGCACUGCAUCCUGCCUCAUCGGCCCAGGGGUGGAGAGGGAGAUCCUACCCUCAUGCGGUUCAUGGUCCAGUCAGCCAAGAGGCAAAGAGAGAGACAGCGAGAGAGGGAACACAAGCAGGGGGAGUG